CAACAAAAAACCACUGGUCGUGACGCUCAGAGAUCACUCGCAAUAGUCAGGAGUUAACAGAAAGUGUGUGCACCCAAAUUGUCUACCAUCCUUCUAUAAAAACUGGCUGCUUUUAAAGGUUUGUCUAUUAAAAUGCUAUCAUGUUUUGCUUUGUUUGGUUUCCUUUUAAAGACAGUUGUUUAGGUGAUGUGUGAGGGAUUAAAAAGCCACCCCUGAGAUAAAGCUGACCUGCUUGCAGGAAAGCCACGAUGGAAGGCGGAAGUAUAGAUGAUGGAGGAUUUACGGAGAAUGCGCAGACACAGAUGUGACGUGGAGGGGAGGGCGACUCAGGCCCUUCCUCGCAAAGACUCAUCUAACUGUCGGGGCAACUGUGGGUGCUGCCAUGUCGGAUGAGACGACUGGGGAGUGAGAGGCAGGAAAGCAGCCGAAAGGCCGGGGGGCAGUGUUCUCCAAGGCCUCUCAGAAAAGACAGGAGAGCUUCUCUACACCCCGCUCUCCAGUGGGGAAGCCUGCUUACUUAUAACGGACCCAACAGUAAAUGCAGUCCCCACCACUCUUGGCCAUUGUCAGAAGGGAUAGGUCUGAGGGUCCGGGCAAGAGCAGACCGACGGCCUGGAGAGAGCUUUUGGGCUUGAACUGGAACAUUGGCUCUCCUUGGGUCUGGAGCCUGACAGUUUUCAGAGUGGGACUUACACCGUUGGAUGUCCUGGUCCUCAGCCUUCACACUUCAGCUGGAACUUCACCACUGGCUCUCCUGGGUCUCCAACUCGCUGACUCUAAAUCUUGGGAGUUCUCAGCCUCCAUAAUCAUAAGAUCCAGUUCCUUUUUCAAAUACUUUAUAAAUGUGUCGCACAUUGCAAAGAUGGUGGGAAGCUUCCAGAGGUGCCGAGUCUUGGGACUUCAGACCUACUGUCUUGGAAAAUUUCAAUUAUACAACACAGGAUUAUCACCUGUAGCCACCAUGCUUGCGAAUAGAAUCAUCAAAGCCAGCUGCCUCCACACGGACUGGGAUGGGAUACAGGGCCACACGUUCUUCUAUCAAUUACAGGCAGUGUCUCAAGUUCUCACCUACAGGAUUAAAACAUCUAUGAAAAAUGUGCCCCAGCCUAUAAAGGCUGACUCUGCUGAUACGCUCGCUUCUGUUCCUCUGAGUCGGCAGCGUUUUCUUCAUUUUACUGAUGAGGAAACUGAAUCUCGGUGAAUAACUUGCUCAAGGACACACCGUUGCAGAUGGCGUACCAGAACCUGAGCAGCAAGCACGCCUCAUGUCAGAGUCUGCGAGAGGCAACGCUGCCCUUUAGGAAGCUGAUGCAUGAAUCGAAUACAAUUUCAUGCUUGCAACUGAGAUAGGCGGAACUUUAAUAUUCGCUGUUAUUUUCAUAAUGGCACAAAAGUUAUUAUGCUUUGUGACACUAAGUGAAAGUUUUCCUGGGACCUCGCUGAAAAUACUUCUGGGAUUAGUUCAAACUCGGGGUCAAUAAACGUUUUUUCAGUGCUAAAUGUAGCCAAUGCUAAUUGAUAUGGGAGACAACAAGGCAACCCAGCCCAACGAGACCCCUUCAUCAAGCAGGUUCCGCUCACGCAGCUAGUGGAGACAGACGUGAAGGACUGAGUCCAUUCGUGGCAGAUUUCGUUUCCCGGAGAUGGCCGCACCAUAUCUUCUGUCGCGCAUGCUCUUCUACAAUGCAAGCUUGCCACUCCUGCAUCAAAAGGCAGAGUCUUCUUCCCCUCCCUUUGAAUCUGGGUGGGCUUUGAACCUGCUUUGACUGAUAGAAUAUACCAGAAGUGAUGUUGUAUGACUGUGAGGCUGAGUUCUAAAAGGCUAAGAAUCUUUUACUUUGUUCUCUGGAACGCUAUCGCAU
This 1862-nucleotide long non-coding RNA is filed under the name Equus caballus (horse). RNAcentral's name for it is "lncRNA (ENSECAG00000029622.3)". Lineage: Eukaryota; Metazoa; Chordata; Mammalia; Perissodactyla; Equidae. The record is from RNAcentral.